UGAUGACAAAACUCCGGAAUCUCUGUAUUUCUUUGAUGAAACACUUGAACCCUUUUUUCUGAUGACUGCUCUGAAAAAUAUAGU
Gasterosteus aculeatus aculeatus (three-spined stickleback) is the source of this 84-nucleotide small nucleolar RNA. Ensembl annotates it as Small nucleolar RNA MBII-202. The record is from Ensembl. NCBI's taxonomy places the organism in Eukaryota, Metazoa, Chordata, Actinopteri, Perciformes, Gasterosteidae.